UGUUAGGUCUCUGCCUUGUUCUUCAUCCGAAUUAAUGCCACUGCCUGAUCUAAUGUAUAUGCCGACUUUAUACUGUGAUGACUGCGCAUGGCUCAUUACAUCAGUUAUAGUUUAUAUGAUGGUACUUUGCUACAUGGAUAACUGUGGUAUCUCUAGAGCUAACUACAUGCUUACAAGCCCCGACUUCUUGGAAGGGGUGUAUUUCUUAGAUAAACACCCACACUUCGGGUCCCUUGGUGAAUCCUAAUAACUUUUCUAAUCGCAUGGCCUUGUGCCGGCGAUGCUUCAUUCAAAUAUCUGCCCUAUCAACUGUCGAUGGUAGGAUAGAGGCCUACCAUGGUUGCAACGGGUAACGGGGAACUAAGGGUUCGAUCCGGAGAGGGAGCCUGAGAAACGGCUACCACAUCCAAGGAAGGCAGCAGGCGCGCAACAUUACCCACAUCCCGCACACGGGGAGGUAGUGCACACAUAACAUACACACAUCAUAGGGCUUUUAAAGUCUUCAAUAAUUGGACAUGAGUACAAUUUAAAUCCCUUAA
Molecule: ribosomal RNA, 539 nt
Filed under: Tilletia caries (wheat bunt fungus)
Lineage: Eukaryota; Fungi; Basidiomycota; Exobasidiomycetes; Tilletiales; Tilletiaceae
Description: SSU rRNA
Rfam family: Eukaryotic small subunit ribosomal RNA
Source: RNAcentral